CACGUAGGUGGCGAGCGUUAUCCGGAUUUACUGGGCGUAAAGCGUGUGCAGACGGAGCAGCAAGUGGUGUAUGAAAUCGCGGUGCUUAACACAGCGAGGUUAUGCCAGACUGCUGGACUAGAGUGCGAGAGAGGGAGAUGGAAUUCCGGGUGUAGUGGUGAAAUGCGUAGAGAUCCGGAGGAACCCCAGAGGCGAAAGCGGUCUCCUGGCUCGCAACUGACGUUCAGACACGACAGCAUGGGGAGCGAACGGG
Molecule: ribosomal RNA, 253 nt
Filed under: uncultured bacterium
Lineage: Bacteria
Description: partial 16S ribosomal RNA
Rfam family: Bacterial small subunit ribosomal RNA
Source: RNAcentral